RNAcentral lists this ribosomal RNA (466 nucleotides) under uncultured bacterium. RNAcentral's name for it is "partial 16S ribosomal RNA". It matches the Rfam family "Bacterial small subunit ribosomal RNA", at positions 28 to 507 of the family's 1533-position model. The record is from RNAcentral.
GACGAACGCUGGCGGCGCGCCUAACACAUGCAAGUCGAACGAGCGAGAGGGAGCUUGCUUUCUCGAGCGAGUGGCGAACGGGUGAGUAACGCGUGAGGAACCUGCCUCAAAGAGGGGGACAACAGUUGGAAACGACUGCUAAUACCGCAUAAGCCCACGGUGCCGCAUGGCACAGAGGGAAAAGGAGCAAUCCGCUUUGAGAUGGCCUCGCGUCCGAUUAGCUAGUUGGUGAGGUAAUGGCCCACCAAGGCGACGAUCGGUAGCCGGACUGAGAGGUUGAACGGCCACAUUGGGACUGAGACACGGCUCAGACUCCUACGGGAGGCAGCAGUGGGGAAUAUUGCACAAUGGGGGAAACCCUGAUGCAGCGACGCCGCGUGGAGGAAGAAGGUCUUCGGAUUGUAAACUCCUGUUGUUGGGGAAGAUAAUGACGGUACCCAACAAGGAAGUGACGGCUAACUACGUG